GUGGCGGCUCAGAGGUAGAGUGCUUGCCUGGCACAAGUGAGGCCCUGGGUUCAAUUCUCAGCACCACA
This 68-nucleotide transfer RNA is filed under the name Marmota monax (woodchuck). Its description in RNAcentral is "tRNA.Ala". The record is from RNAcentral. Lineage: Eukaryota; Metazoa; Chordata; Mammalia; Rodentia; Sciuridae.